Molecule: long non-coding RNA, 607 nt
Filed under: Numida meleagris (helmeted guineafowl)
Lineage: Eukaryota; Metazoa; Chordata; Aves; Galliformes; Numididae
Description: lncRNA (ENSNMEG00000020434.1)
Source: RNAcentral
AUGACAGCUAAGAAAUAGAGACUAGAAAUAAAAAAAAUUAUUUUUUAUUAUCUAACUCUUAGACUGUAAAUAAUGGAGAAUUUUUAGUACAGUUUUACCUUGCUUACAUCACUAACAGUUUUACAUAUACUUCACAGCUUCUCAAACAUAGAUGCUUAGAUCGCUGGCUAAGAACCAGACUUCUGAAUCCAGAGAACAGCUGUUCAAAUAAAUGUAGGAGUAACUAACAUGAGCACUUUCAGAAAAAGAAAUUGAAGAUCAUCUUUCUGCAUGUAUACAAGGUGAGUCUGACCUAUGAUAAUUUAUAUCUGUCCAUUAAUACCAAUUAAAACAUAACAUUGUAAGUAAAUGCAUACAUACAUAUGUAUAUAUUACAAAGGGGAGUAUGAAUUUUAAAAUGUACCAGUAAUUUAAGGAAUGUUUCAUUUAGUCAAUAAGGUGUUCCUUAUUCAUAAUUAGUAUCUGUCAAAAGAAGCUUAAUUCAUUUGCCCAUAGCUAGGUGCCUAGUAUAAUUCAAGGAGCAUCAGGGUGUCUAAACAUGAAUUUGUCAAGUAUUAUAGAGUGCGUAUUUGAGAUCCAUACCACUCUGAAGCUGCAGAAAGCCAAG